This is a long non-coding RNA of Oreochromis aureus, 1186 nucleotides long. RefSeq lists it as uncharacterized. The record is from RefSeq and is a predicted model, not a curated record. The transcript is spliced from 3 exons. Lineage: Eukaryota; Metazoa; Chordata; Actinopteri; Cichliformes; Cichlidae.
UCUGUCUGUCUUUCAGAUCCACCCGGUCCUUAAAUGAUGGAUGCUGGUUUUCUGGAUCAAACUGCUCAUCCCGAUACAAAAGGACAUAUUCUGUCUCCACAUCAGGUGACAGAAAUAUGCCAGUAAGAAAUGUUCAAAGCCAGGAGGACAAACUCGAUGAAACUGGACAGAAGAGAAGAGGCUAACACAAACCCAACACAGAUGUAACCUCAGUGAAGUAACAUGAAGACAGCUGUAAUGUCUGUGAACACGGAACAAAAGAAAGGAGUCCAUUAUCCUCAGGUCCUCACAGACUGGAUGGGUCACCGGAUGAAGCUCACUCAUUCACAGAAAUCUCUCCCAGUGGAAAAUAUUCACUGCAUGAAUAAAUAAAGUUAGACUAUGAUUACACAAACUGAACCAUGACUUAGAAAACGUAAUGGAAACGUGUCCACCUCUGGCUGAAUUAGUCGUGUAUGUGUGGAAAUGUCGUGUGUCAUUCAUGUGUACUCACUUUCUGCUAGUGCCGCAACAUUUGGCAUCAGUCAGACAUGUAAAAAAGUAAUUACAGGAUCAGUAUUACUGAUACAGAGCAUCCAUAUCUUAUAUCAACUUAUAAAGGCAGCUCGUGUAGGGGAGAGCAGUGUCCCAUGAUGUAUGAGGUCAGUGUGCUAAAUAUGAAAAUGUUACACUGGGAAUUACUAAACUCACAGUUUUUCACUUGAAAUUUUAUAAAUUAUAUUUCAGAGAGAUCAAAUAUAAAUGAAAAGCACUGUUGUUCACUUACAUGUUGCACUUUCUUACUGGCUGUAGCCUCCAUGUGCCCACUGAGUCACAUGAUGAGGGGAGGAGCAGAAGGACCAAAGAGUGCAUGUCUGACAUUUAUCAUAAUUAUUUGUCAUUUUCCAUUGUCAACACAUUAAUUAAAAAGAAAAUAAAAUUUAGUGUUUAUAUUUGUUAUUGUUGAGCGGUCAUGUACAGUGUUAAUGUAUGUGUGUAAAUUACACAAGCUUGUCUGGAUUGUUGUUUGAAAAAUGUAUUUGCUAUAAGAUGAUAUUCAGUUUACUCAGUUGUCAGCCGGGUGACAUAUUCCAGUAUAUGAAUUCAAUUACAGGCAGGUCUUAAAACUUUUGUCUAAAUUGAGACAAAGCUGAAGUUAUUUUGUUAAACUGUCAGAAACAUGGUGUUUAAUGAGGUAUUUACUCUG